This 468-nucleotide ribosomal RNA is filed under the name uncultured bacterium. Its description in RNAcentral is "partial 16S ribosomal RNA". It matches the Rfam family "Bacterial small subunit ribosomal RNA", at positions 28 to 507 of the family's 1533-position model. The record is from RNAcentral.
GACGAACGCUGGCGGCGUGCUUAACACAUGCAAGUCGAACGGAAAGGCCCUGCUUUCGUGGUGUGCUCGAGUGGCGAACGGGUGAGUAACACGUGAGUAACCUGCCCUUGACUUUGGGAUAACUUCAGGAAACUGGGGCUAAUACCGGAUAGGAGCUCCUGUUGCAUGGUGGGGGUUGGAAAGUUUCGGCGGUUGGGGAUGGACUCGCGGCUUAUCAGCUUGUUGGUGGGGUAGUGGCUUACCAAGGCUUUGACGGGUAGCAGGCCUGAGAGGGUGACCGGCCACAUUGGGACUGAGAUACGGCCCAGACUCCUACGGGAGGCAGCAGUGGGGAAUAGUGCACAAUGGGCGGAAGCCUGAUGCAGCAACGCCGCGUGCGGGAUGACGGCCUUCGGGUUGUAAACCGCUUUCGCCUGUGACGAAGCGUGAGUGACGGUAAUGGGUAAAGAAGCACCGGCUAACUACGUG